Magallana angulata is the source of this 873-nucleotide long non-coding RNA. RefSeq lists it as uncharacterized. The record is from RefSeq and is a predicted model, not a curated record. NCBI's taxonomy places the organism in Eukaryota, Metazoa, Mollusca, Bivalvia, Ostreida, Ostreidae. The transcript has 4 exons.
ACUGCCCAUUUAAAAGAACUCGUGCUGUAAGUAAUCGUCAUCGAUCAAAUCAAUGGACUCUGUUUAGGAGAGCAGAGCACAUUAAUUGUGCUCACUAGGUUCACGACGUAAGAUCAUAUGACCGUAAGAUCUGUACAGACAGGGAUUGUGAACACGGUAUUUGGCUAUGUUGUAAAAUAAGGCAGUGUGUGGCUUAAUCCUUGAGGAAAAUAUACAAAUUGUGUAUACUUCAUUCUCGAUAUGGUAUCCCGAUGUACAAUCAUCUGCAAAAUUGUUAAUAAAAAUACUAAAGCAUAAGAAAUGAAGAGGACUGUGCCUUUUUACGGGUAGUUUUGCUGGUACACGAGUAGAUGGUUGUCCACACACAUUGUGCAAAAGGCCCGGUAUUCGUCCCACGGAGGUACUGUCAGCCAGCGCUUUUAAAAGCUGUUCUUACCAAGAGGCCUGCAGUAAUGAGAUUCCUUAGACGUGGCACCAAGAAGAGGACCAGUGGAACUGACUCCCUUCACGAAUCCGCAUCUCUUGAAUCAUUAUCUCCUACAUCCUCCGAGAGCUGAUGUCUGACAUAGCAUGUCAACUGAUGACAGAGAACGUCCAGACUCGCCGUGUUGGAUUAUCAGUAAAUAAAGAGCAAAUUGGACUCCCAUCAACUGAAAUCAUCUCUGAAGUCUUUGGCCCAAAGGCCGUGGAACAUUGCUGACCUGCCACCACAACCAAACAGAUGUAAUUGUUACACAGUUCUAUCAACAUUAUAUUAUAUAGUACAUCAUCUUGAUAGCUGAUGCAAAGCAGUAACCAGUGAUCGACAGUGCUGUACAAACAGUGGUCAUAUGCAAUGUUAAACGUCUCAAUAAAUUCGUCAGAUGAACAGUU